RNAcentral lists this ribosomal RNA (306 nucleotides) under Actinomadura sp. GC306. RNAcentral describes it as "partial 23S ribosomal RNA". It matches the Rfam family "Bacterial large subunit ribosomal RNA", at positions 1356 to 1563 of the family's 2925-position model. Lineage: Bacteria; Bacillati; Actinomycetota; Actinomycetes; Streptosporangiales; Thermomonosporaceae. The record is from RNAcentral.
UGGGGCAGGCUAAUCCGCCCAGGGUAAGUCGGGACCUAAGGCGAGGCCGACAGGCGUAGUCGAUGGACAACGGGUUGAUAUUCCCGUACCCGCUGGUAUGCGCCAACGCUGAACCCUCUGAUGCUAAGACUCCGAAUCCCGGUCGGUGCCUUCGGGCGCUGGUCGGGCCUAGCGGUCGGCCCGAGGGGGUAGUAGGUGAGUGAUGGGGUGACGCAGGAGGGUAGCUCAGCCCAGGCGAUGGUUGUCCUGGGGUAAGCAUGUAGCCCGCGCUGUAGGCAAAUCCGCAGCGCAUUCAAGGGUGAGAUG